GAUGAACGCUAGCGGCAGGCCUAAUACAUGCAAGACGAACGGUAAGUUGAGUAGCAAUACUUAGCCAAGAGUGUCGUACGGGUGCGUAACACGUAUGCAACCUACCUUCAACUGGAGGAUAGCCCGGGGAAACUCGGAUUAAUACUCCAUAACACAGGGAUCCCGCAUGGGAAUAUUGUUAAAGCUACGGCGGUUGAAGAUGGGCAUGCGUUCGAUUAGCUAGUUGGUGUAGGUAACGUCUCACCAAGGCUACGAUCGAUAGGGGGUCUGAGAGGAUGAUCCCCCACACUGGUACUGAGAUACGGACCAGACUCCUACGGGAGGCAGCAGUAGGGAAUAUUGGACAAUGGGCGCAAGCCUGAUCCAGCCAUGCCGCGUGAGUGAUGAAGGCCGUUAGGGUUGUAAAGGACUC
RNAcentral lists this ribosomal RNA (412 nucleotides) under uncultured bacterium. RNAcentral's name for it is "bacterial SSU rRNA". It matches the Rfam family "Bacterial small subunit ribosomal RNA", at positions 28 to 433 of the family's 1533-position model. The record is from RNAcentral.